RNAcentral lists this small nuclear RNA (105 nucleotides) under Castor canadensis (American beaver). The record is from RNAcentral. Lineage: Eukaryota; Metazoa; Chordata; Mammalia; Rodentia; Castoridae.
GUGUGCAUUUGGGCAGCCCAUAUGGUAAUAUUGGAAUGAUAUAGAGAAGAUUAGCAUGAUCCUGCACAAAGAUGGCACACAAAUUUUGAAGUGUUCCAUAUUUUU